GCAACUCCAUCCAAUAUAUAUCAUCUUAAGUCAACGAAUAUUAAAUCCAGUUGAAAUCAAUUGAGCCAUAAGUAUGGAUAGUGACCAUGCACCAGGAACACAGAUCAGUUGUGCGAGGAGGAAACAAGUUCAGAUGUUGUCAGAUAAUUUAUUACUUGAAGCACAAAAGCAAGAUCGGCGUGAGGUCAGCUCUCCCACCCUUCGUCCCACGAGCGCCAUCACAUCGGAGUCAAGCCGAGCAACGGCACAGGCUGUGGUCACUCUGUCACUGGGAAACAGUGUUGCAGACCUCCAGAGAAGCGCCCAGCUGUACCCUGCGGGAGCGGCAGUGCAAAAGCGACGCACCCACCUGGCUAGGAAGAUGUCUGGGAAGCUGUGCCGUCUCUGCCUCCCAUCGGACAGGCCCGAGAAACCCUCUCGAGGCAACUCCCGGCCAGGCUGGUCUCCCCUCACCGCCCACAGGGAGUCAGGUCACAGAGGAGUCCCGGCGAGCGACUGACCGGGCUGUGGGGUAGCCUGAGUUUGCGACCAAAGCUAACAGAGUGGAAUGUUUCAUCAUGCCAAAAGCAGAGGAGUUAACCAGAAAUUCUCUCACUCCAGACAACUGGAUUGGAUUAACUGGCAGUUCAGUGAAACUGUCCUGAAAAGACACUUCUUUCCAUUUUCGCUUACUGUCCCCAUGGCUAAAGAAUAAAAACUGUUCUAAGGCCACGAAUAGCUGCAUAAGACAGCAUCACAAUUACUAAAUUCUGAAGCUCUUGCUUUUGCUAGUGAAUGGUAUCACACAUUAAAAUACAC
Molecule: long non-coding RNA, 798 nt
Filed under: Heterocephalus glaber (naked mole-rat)
Lineage: Eukaryota; Metazoa; Chordata; Mammalia; Rodentia; Bathyergidae
Description: lncRNA (ENSHGLG00000031946.1)
Source: RNAcentral